ACAAAGAGCAUGCGGGAGGAACAUUAAGGAAUAUAGGCUUCGCAGCCGCUAUUCUCACCCUUUUGUAUGCUAAACUUUGUUGCUUUGGCGGGCUCCCGGCCUUGCGGCUGGACAGCGCCCGCCAGAGGACCGAAACUCUUGAAUCGUUGCCGUCUGAGUACUAUCUAAUAGUUAAAACUUUCAACAACGGAUCUCUUGGUUCUGGCAUCGAUGAAGAACGCAGCGAAAUGCGAUAAGUAAUGUGAAUUGCAGAAUUCAGUGAAUCAUCGAAUCUUUGAACGCACAUUGCGCUCCCUGGUAUUCCGGGGAGCAUGCCUGUUCGAGCGUCAUUACAACCCUCACGCCCAGCGUGGUCUUGGGCUCGCCCGGCACGGGCCUGCCUCAAAAUCAGUGGCGGCGCCGUCCGACCCUCAGCGUAGUAAUACUCGUCGCUGCUGGGCUGCGGGUGGUGGCUUGCCAGCGACCCCCCACUUUCAAAGGUUGACCUCGGAUCAGGUAGGGAUACCCGCUGAACUUAAGCAUAUCA
RNAcentral lists this ribosomal RNA (526 nucleotides) under Stipamyces pinicola. RNAcentral describes it as "eukaryotic LSU rRNA". The stretch from base 176 to 329 matches the Rfam family "5.8S ribosomal RNA". The record is from RNAcentral. Lineage: Eukaryota; Fungi; Ascomycota; Leotiomycetes; Rhytismatales; Rhytismataceae.